Molecule: ribosomal RNA, 253 nt
Filed under: uncultured bacterium
Lineage: Bacteria
Description: partial 16S ribosomal RNA
Rfam family: Bacterial small subunit ribosomal RNA
Source: RNAcentral
UACGUAGGUGGCGAGCGUUGUCCGGAAUUACUGGGUGUAAAGGGCGCGUAGGCGGGGGCGUAAGUCAGAUGUGAAAUUCCGAGGCUCAACUUCGGAGCUGCAUCUGAAACUACGUUUCUUGAGUGCCGGAGAGGGAAGCGGAAUUCCCAGUGUAGCGGUGAAAUGCGUAGAGAUUGGGAGGAACACCAGUGGCGAAGGCGGCUUCCUGGACGGUAACUGACGCUGAGGCGCGAAAGCGUGGGGAGCGAACAGG